UCUAGUGGCGCACGGGUGCGUAACGCGUGGGAAUUUGCCCUUAGGUACGGAAUAACAGUGAGAAAUUACUGCUAAUACCGUAUGAUGUCUUCGGACCAAAGAUUUAUCGCCUAGGGAUGAGCCCGCGUUGGAUUAGCUAGUUGGUGGGGUAAAGGCCUACCAAGGCGACGAUCCAUAGCUGGUCUGAGAGGAUGAUCAGCCACACUGGGACUGAGACACGGCCCAGACUCCUACGGGAGGCAGCAGUGGGGAAUAUUGGACAAUGGGCGAAAGCCUGAUCCAGCAAUGCCGCGUGAGUGAAGAAGGCCUUAGGGUUGUAAAGCUCUUUUACCCGGGAAGAUAAUGACUGUACCGGGAGAAUAAGCCCCGGCUAACUCCGUGCCAGCAGCCGCGGUAAUACGGAGGGGGCUAGCGUUGUUCGGAAUUACUGGGCGUAAAGCGUCCGUAGGCGGCUUGCCAAGUCAGAGGUGAAAUCCCACGACUCAAUCGUGGAACUGCCUUUGAGACUGGUUCGCUUGAAGAUGGGAGAGGUUAGUGGAAUUCCGAGUGUAGAGGUGAAAUUCGUAGAUAUUCGGAAGAACACCAGUGGCGAAGGCGGCUAACUGGACCAUUCU
Molecule: ribosomal RNA, 614 nt
Filed under: uncultured bacterium
Lineage: Bacteria
Description: bacterial SSU rRNA
Rfam family: Bacterial small subunit ribosomal RNA
Source: RNAcentral